GAUGAACGCUAGCGGCAGGCCUAACACAUGCAAGUCGAGGGGGAGCAGGAUUAAGCUUGCUUAAUUGCUGACGACCGGCGCACGGGUGCGUAACGCGUAUGCAACCUACCUUAUACUGGGGUAUAGCCCGGAGAAAUUCGGAUUAAUCCCCCAUAGUACUAAUGAAUCGCAUGGUUUAUUAGUUAAAGCAUUGCGGUAUAAGAUGGGCAUGCGUCCUAUUAGCUAGAUGGUGAGGUAACGGCUCACCAUGGCUACGAUAGGUAGGGGGCCUGAGAAGUGGGUACCCCACGCUGGUAGUGAGACACGGACCAGACUCCUACGGGAUGGAGCAGUGAAGAAGAUUGGUCAAUGGGCGCAAGCCUGAACCAGCCAUGCCGCGUGCAGGAAGAAUGCCCUAUGGGUUGUAAACUGCUGUUAGUUGGGAAUAAACCUCGUUACGUGUAGAGAGCUGAAGGUACCAAAUGAAUAAGCACCGGCUAACUCCGUGCCAGCAGCCGCAGUAA
This 503-nucleotide ribosomal RNA is filed under the name uncultured bacterium. RNAcentral's name for it is "partial 16S ribosomal RNA". It matches the Rfam family "Bacterial small subunit ribosomal RNA", at positions 28 to 523 of the family's 1533-position model. The record is from RNAcentral.